UCUCCGUUGGUGAACCAGCGUAGGGAUCAUUA
This 32-nucleotide ribosomal RNA is filed under the name Clonostachys vesiculosa. Its description in RNAcentral is "[Bionectria] vesiculosa partial 18S ribosomal RNA". Lineage: Eukaryota; Fungi; Ascomycota; Sordariomycetes; Hypocreales; Bionectriaceae. The record is from RNAcentral.